ACAUCGAAAGCUUGCUUUUGAUGGGCGUCGACCGGCGCACGGGUGAGUAUCGCGUAUCCAACCUGCCCAUCACUUGGGGAUAACCUUGCGAAAGUAAGACUAAUACCCAAUGAUAUCUCUAGAAGACAUCUGAAAGAGAUUAAAGAUUUAUCGGUGAUGGAUGGGGAUGCGUCUGAUUAGCUUGUUGGCGGGGUAACGGCCCACCAAGGCGACGAUCAGUAGGGGUUCUGAGAGGAAGGUCCCCCACAUUGGAACUGAGACACGGUCCAAACUCCUACGGGAGGCAGCAGUGAGGAAUAUUGGUCAAUGGACGAGAGUCUGAACCAGCCAAGUAGCGUGCAGGAUGACGGCCCUAUGGGUUGUAAACUGCUUUUAUAAGGGAAUAAAGUGAGAGUCGUGACUCUUUUUGCAUGUACCUUAUGAAUAAGGACCGGCUAAUUCCGUGCCAGCAGCCGCGGUAAUACGGAAGGUCCGGGCGUUAUCCGGAUUUAUUGGGUUUAAAGGGAGCGUAGGCCGGAGAUUAAGCGUGUUGUGAAAUGUAGACGCUCAACGUCUGCACUGCAGCGCGAACUGGUUUCCUUGAGUACGCACAAAGUGGGCGGAA
RNAcentral lists this ribosomal RNA (604 nucleotides) under uncultured bacterium. RNAcentral's name for it is "bacterial SSU rRNA". It matches the Rfam family "Bacterial small subunit ribosomal RNA", at positions 68 to 666 of the family's 1533-position model. The record is from RNAcentral.